This 633-nucleotide long non-coding RNA is filed under the name Carica papaya (papaya). RNAcentral describes it as "long non-coding RNA (CPAP_LNC000686)". Lineage: Eukaryota; Viridiplantae; Streptophyta; Magnoliopsida; Brassicales; Caricaceae. The record is from RNAcentral.
UGGAGAAAAUAUCUGGAACAUGAUUGGGUAGGCUGUAUUAACCACUAAAAGGGGUGGUGGUUGUAGUCACACAAAGGAGGAAGCAACAAUGCUGUGUAAUACCUGUUAUAACGAAGAGGAGGAUGGGGAAGUGGGGAAACACAGUUCAGCGGCAUACAAACUCCUGGAGAAGAAUCAACUCUGUCCUUAGUCAUUCCAGAGGGUUGUGACUGAUUUGGGAAAAUAUGGGAGGGGCAUGGUUCUCAUGAGUUGUGGAUGAAGAAAGAGAUGUUGCCACUAUGGAUACAGAACCUGCAAUAUAGACACCCGUAAACAGAGUCUGGAAUAUGGGAGGGGCUUGGUUCUAUUUUGUAAAGCUUUAUAUACAGGCUGCACCUCUUUGUUGCCUAUAUAUAUUAUACUAGUUUCUACUAUAAAAAAAGAUGAUAAGAUGAGAAAAAGCAACAUACAAAUCUUGUUCUGUAAUCAACGCAUCAACUUGUAUUGCAUUUUCCCAGAGAGUGAUAGUUGAACUAUUUGUCCUGCUUGAAUUUUUUAUGGUUGUUUAGUUUAUUGGUUUAAGAAGUCUGCUUACAGUAAUAAAUGUGCAAAUGGCAGGGUUAUUGUAACUUUCUUCCUGAGGAAACAUUGCUG